RNAcentral lists this ribosomal RNA (433 nucleotides) under uncultured bacterium. Its description in RNAcentral is "partial 16S ribosomal RNA". It matches the Rfam family "Bacterial small subunit ribosomal RNA", at positions 29 to 507 of the family's 1533-position model. The record is from RNAcentral.
AACGAACGCUGGCGGCAUGCCUAACACAUGCAAGUCGAACGAGACCUCCGGGUCUAGUGGCGCACGGGUGCGUAACGUGUGGGAACCUGCCCUAAGGCUCGGAAUAACUCUUUGACAGGGGUGCUAAUACCGGAUAAUGUCCUCGGAUCAAAGAUUGAUCGCCUUUGGAUGGGCCCGCGUUGGUUUAGCCGGUUGGUAGGGUAAAAGCCUACCACGGCGACGAUCCAUAGCUGGUCUGAGAGGAAGGUCAGCCACACUGGGGCUGGGACACGGCGCAGACUCCUACGGGAGGCAGCAGUGGGGAAUAUAGGACAAUGGGCGAAAGCCUGAUCCAGCUAUGCCGCGUGAGUGAUGAAGGCCUUAGAGUUGUAAAGCUCUUUUACCCGGGAUGAUAAUGACGGUACCGGGAGAAUAAGCUCCGGCUAACUCCGUG